RNAcentral lists this ribosomal RNA (253 nucleotides) under uncultured bacterium. RNAcentral's name for it is "partial 16S ribosomal RNA". It matches the Rfam family "Bacterial small subunit ribosomal RNA", at positions 524 to 776 of the family's 1533-position model. The record is from RNAcentral.
UACAGAGGUCUCAAGCGUUGUUCGGAUUCAUUGGGCGUAAAGGGUGCGUAGGCGGCGCGGUAAGUCGGAUGUGAAAUCUCGGAGCUUAACUUCGAAACUGCAUUCGAUACUGCCGUGCUAGAGUCCGGAAGAGGCGAGUGGAACUCCUGGUGUAGCGGUGGAAUGCGCAGAUAUCAGGAAGAACACCAACGGCGAAGGCAGCUCGCUGGGACGGAACUGACGCUGAGGCGCGAAAGCGUGGGGAGCGAACAGG